UUUAUGGAGAGUUUGAUCCUGGCUCAGGACGAACGCUGGCGGCGUGCCUAAUACAUGCAAGUCGAGCGAACAGAGAAGGAGCUUGCUCCUUUGACGUUAGCGGCGGACGGGUGAGUAACACGUGGGCAACCUACCCUAUAGUUUGGGAUAACUCCGGGAAACCGGGGCUAAUACCGAAUAAUCUAUUGUCCCUCAUGGGACAAUACUGAAAGACGGUUUCGGC
The sequence is a ribosomal RNA, 223 nucleotides long. It matches the Rfam family "Bacterial small subunit ribosomal RNA", at positions 1 to 218 of the family's 1533-position model.